CGUCCCUACGGGAGGCAGCAGUAGGGAAUUUUCGUCAAUGGGCGCAAGCCUGAACGAGCAAUGCCGCGUGAACGAGGAAGGUCUUCGGAUCGUAAAGUUCUGUUGAAGGGGAAAAAGAGCGGAGAGAGGAAAUGGUCUCCGAUUGAUAUUACCCUUCGAGGAAGUCACGGCUAACUACGUGCCAGCAGCCGCGGUAAUACGUAGGUGGCGAGCGUUAUCCGGAAUGAUUGGGCGUAAAGGGUGCGUAGGCGGACUGCUAAGUCUGGAGUGAAAGGUACAGGCUCAAACGGUACAGGCUAUGGCAA
Molecule: ribosomal RNA, 305 nt
Filed under: uncultured bacterium
Lineage: Bacteria
Description: bacterial SSU rRNA
Rfam family: Bacterial small subunit ribosomal RNA
Source: RNAcentral